RNAcentral lists this transfer RNA (87 nucleotides) under Candidatus Nomurabacteria bacterium. RNAcentral describes it as "tRNA-Leu". It matches the Rfam family "tRNA". Rfam says of the family: Transfer RNA (tRNA) molecules are approximately 80 nucleotides in length. Their secondary structure includes four short double-helical elements and three loops (D, anti-codon, and T loops). Lineage: Bacteria; Candidatus Nomuraibacteriota. The record is from RNAcentral.
GCCGCGGUGGCGGAAUUGGUAGACGCGCUAGACUCAAAAUCUGGUGUACAUAUGUACGUGCUGGUUCAAGUCCAGUCCGCGGUACCA